This 222-nucleotide non-coding RNA is filed under the name Dryobates pubescens (Downy woodpecker). RNAcentral's name for it is "Picoides pubescens (downy woodpecker) Eukaryotic small subunit ribosomal RNA". It matches the Rfam family "Eukaryotic small subunit ribosomal RNA", at positions 1229 to 1473 of the family's 1831-position model. Lineage: Eukaryota; Metazoa; Chordata; Aves; Piciformes; Picidae. The record is from Rfam by way of RNAcentral.
CCUGGCGGCGAUGGCAGUAGAGCUCUUUCUCGAUUCCGUGGGUGGUGGUGCAGGGCCGUUCUUGGUGGAGCGAUUUGCCUGGGUAAUUCCGAUAACGAACAAGACUCUGGCAUGCUAACUAGUUACGCGACCCCCGAGCGGCUGGCGUCCAACUUCUUAGAGGGACAAGUGGCGUUUAGCCACCCGAGAUUGAGCAACUACAGGGGCAGGUUGGAGAGCCCU